This 402-nucleotide ribosomal RNA is filed under the name uncultured Paracoccaceae bacterium. RNAcentral's name for it is "bacterial SSU rRNA". It matches the Rfam family "Bacterial small subunit ribosomal RNA", at positions 355 to 774 of the family's 1533-position model. Lineage: Bacteria; Pseudomonadati; Pseudomonadota; Alphaproteobacteria; Rhodobacterales; Paracoccaceae. The record is from RNAcentral.
UGGGGAAUCUUAGACAAUGGGCGCAAGCCUGAUCUAGCCAUGCCGCGUGAUCGAUGAAGGCCUUAGGGUUGUAAAGAUCUUUCAGUGGGGAAGAUAAUGACGGUACCCACAGAAGAAGCCCCGGCUAACUCCGUGCCAGCAGCCGCGGUAAUACGGAGGGGGCUAGCGUUAUUCGGAAUUACUGGGCGUAAAGCGCACGUAGGCGGACCGGAAAGUUGGAGGUGAAAUCCCAGGGCUCAACCUUGGAACUGCCUUCAAAACUUCUGGUCUUGAGGUCGUGAGAGGUAAGUGGAAUUCCGAGUGUAGAGGUGAAAUUCGUAGAUAUUCGGAGGAACACCAGUGGCGAAGGCGGCUUACUGGCACGAUACUGACGCUGAGGUGCGAAAGCGUGGGGAGCAAACA